RNAcentral lists this transfer RNA (75 nucleotides) under Streptomyces sp. M56. Its description in RNAcentral is "tRNA-Leu". The record is from RNAcentral. RNAcentral also lists the same sequence under 1 other name. Lineage: Bacteria; Bacillati; Actinomycetota; Actinomycetes; Kitasatosporales; Streptomycetaceae.
AUAGCCGUGGUCGGGGAGCAGAGCGCGGCCGGUAAGCGCGAUCAGCUGUCUUGGUUCGAGUCCAAGCCGCUGUUC